GACAGCUUUUCGUUUUCCAAAAAAAAAAAAACAAACUCUCUAAUAGCGAUUGAACCAACAAACGAUAUGUGUCUUCCACGAAUCGACUCAGUCUCAUCUCCAAGGUUACCCAUUGUUACUCUUAUUUUCUUCAUCCUUGACAGAGAGGUGACUCGAAUCAAUUCUUACAGAAAGCUUCUUUUUUUUUGCAUGUCUCUCCGAUGGCUUAAAUAUAAUCGAAGUUCAAAUCGUGGUGAGCUGAUUCAACAGACAAAAAACUCCAAAGGUUUGUCUUCAUGUUCGUAAAUCCACCAUUAAUAACAGGUUUCAUUCGUCAGAAGAAAUAAAAGAACAUUUUUUUCUUAACUGCUGGUUCCUCUUGGUUAAACAGAAGAAGAUGGAAUCUCCGAAAGUAUAUCUCCAUCCGAUCCGUAAAAGUUGGGUCCGAUGAUUUUCUUUCUUAUUCCGAUGAGAUGGGAACUUGUUGCGAUGACAGUAAAAUGGAACUUUAAAGUGUAAGCCGUACAAACAUAAAGGUGUGGUGACUUUGGCUUCGACCAACCCGUCUUCCAUGGCCUAAUCUCAUCAAGGUAAACCAUCUUUUACUUGGAAGACAUAUUAUGAGAAACGUUUUGAGAAAAUGUGUGUUGCUUUGAGGUUAAAAGACAGUAUAUAUAAGAAAAAUAAAGGUCGUGGAUUUAGGUUUUCCUAUUCAAUACAGUUAGAGAAUAUAUGCAGUUAGUUUAGUAAAUUAAUGGGAAAUUAGAUUUUUGGGUAUAUUAUAAUAGAUAUUUUCGUUACCAAAAUUCAUGAUUUCUUGUUUUGAUUUUCUCUUAUUGAUAUGUUGAAGAUAUGCAAGUACAAUGAUUGGCCGGAUAUUUAUGAUUUAGUUAUUCUUAUUGUUUUGUAUAUAUAUUUUUCCAAAUGAAUUUACUUGCCGAUUUUUUUGCUUUUGGUUAUGUAUAUAUCUUAUUUUUUAAUAAUUGCAUUUGAAACAGAUUUGCAAAUACAAUAAUUUGGCCAGUAUGUUUCAAAGUGGUUUAAUCCCGUAUUUUUCUCAAAAUAUGGGUAUUUUGUAUAGAAAAAGUUUAUUCCAUAGAUGGUACUUUUAAACCCAAUUGUUAGUUUUUCUACUUAAUAUUAAUAAAUAAAUUCAUGAAAUAAAUAUAAAAAAUGGGGUUUAGGGGUUCUUCUGUAUCUCAAUCUAUACAUCUAAAAAUGCAACCAUACAAAUAUAUAAACAUGAGUAUUUCAACCAUUCAUAACGCCGACCAUACAUAUAUUGUUUAAUGGUGAAGCUUGCACCAAAUUGAAUUCUGGUAGUAAAAUAAACAUGUAAUCGUUGAUGGUACUUGAUGUUCUGAAUUUAAAUGUACAAUUUGUUACUGUCAUAUAUUGUUUAAGCAAUGGAAAAGAGCGUUAUAGCAGUUCAAGAUGGUUUUAAACCUUAUGUAUGGUGUUGAAGCAAACACAGAAUCGAAUUCUGUUAAUGAAAUAAACAUGUCAUCGUUCAUGUAACUUGAUAUCUGGAUUUAAUUGUACAAUUUUUUACGUGAAUAUAUUGUUUAAGCAAUGGAAAGAUUGAAAAGUAUAA
Brassica napus (rape) is the source of this 1573-nucleotide long non-coding RNA. RefSeq lists it as uncharacterized. The record is from RefSeq and is a predicted model, not a curated record. NCBI's taxonomy places the organism in Eukaryota, Viridiplantae, Streptophyta, Magnoliopsida, Brassicales, Brassicaceae. The transcript is spliced from 4 exons.